Molecule: non-coding RNA, 73 nt
Organism: Ovis aries (sheep)
Lineage: Eukaryota; Metazoa; Chordata; Mammalia; Artiodactyla; Bovidae
Source: Rfam
UCCCUGGUGGUCCAGUGGUUAAGACUCUGUACUCCCAAUGUAGGGGACACAGGUUUGAUCCCUGGCCAGGGAA